AGCAGCCGCGGUAAUUCCAGCUCCAAUAGCGUAUAUUAAAGUUGUUGCAGUUAAAAAGCUCGUAGUUGAAUUUCGGGGUCAGUAGGCUGGUCGUGCCUCAGGUACGUACUGGUCUUACUGAUUCCUCCUUCCUGACGAACCGUAAUGCCAUUAAUUUGGUGUUGCGGGGAAUCUGGACUGUUACUUUGAAAAAAUUAGAGUGUUUAAAGCAGGCUAACGCUUGAAUACAUUAGCAUGGAAUAAUGAAAUAGGACGAUCGAUCCUAUUUUGUUGGUUUCUAGGAUUGACGUAAUGAUUAAUAGGGAUAGUUGGGGGCAUUAGUAUUCAAUUGUCAGAGGUGAAAUUCUUGGAUUUAUUGAAGACUAACUACUGCGAAAGCAUUUGCCAAGGAUGUUUUCAUUAAUCAAGAACGAAAGUUAGGGGAUCGAAGACGAUCAGAUACCGUCGUAGUCUUAACCAUAAACUAUGCCGACUAGGGAUCGGAUGAUGUAAUUUUUAAUGACUCAUUCGGCGCCUUACA
RNAcentral lists this ribosomal RNA (520 nucleotides) under uncultured Glomus. RNAcentral describes it as "SSU rRNA". It matches the Rfam family "Eukaryotic small subunit ribosomal RNA", at positions 569 to 1092 of the family's 1831-position model. The record is from RNAcentral. Lineage: Eukaryota; Fungi; Glomeromycota; Glomeromycetes; Glomerales; Glomeraceae.